RNAcentral lists this long non-coding RNA (689 nucleotides) under Equus asinus (donkey). RNAcentral describes it as "lncRNA (ENSEASG00005027469.1)". Lineage: Eukaryota; Metazoa; Chordata; Mammalia; Perissodactyla; Equidae. The record is from RNAcentral.
GAAAGAGGCCAUGAGCCAAGGAAUGUGGACAGACUAUAGAAGCUGGGUAUGGAACAGAGAUUGAAGCUAAUUCUGCUGUCUGAGAAUUAUCUGCGUCUUGCUAGCAUGAAAAGAUAUUUUGGAGAAGCAUUAGAGCAGACAGAGUUAGAAGAAAACCUCUGCUGACAGAUUGUGCUCAGAUCCUGGCUCUGCCAAGCUGCAUGACCCUGGACCAGUCAACAAUCGCUUUGGAGAGGAGAAACAAUUACUUUGUAAACUGAAGCAGCGCACUUAAUGAAGGAAGCAGAGAAGCUGCUGUGGAGGCUUUUUGCUAUCUAAUGUGCUCACGCGGUGCCUCAGUUUCUGCAUCUGUAAAUUAAGAUGAUAAUAAUCACUAUCUCAUAGGGUUGUGCAGAAGAUUAGAUGAGUUAAUAUACAGAAAGCAUUUAAACAGUGCCUGGCGCAUCGUAAGCGCAAUGUAUAAUGGUUUGUUUUCAUCACUACUUUGAUCAUUUAUUUUAAAAUAAAAUGUGCAAUACAUUUUGUAUAGUAAGAAAGGCAGAAAUAGUGAAUUUUGGGAUCAAUUUUUGAGACUAGUUCUGAGAUAUUCAUGGCCUUAGCAUCUAAAAUCUCUUUUACAUUCUCCACAACCUUUCUGAACAUACUUAGUUUGUAAAAUCAGAUUGGACAUUUUACAGGAAUAGCUUUUC